Salmo salar (Atlantic salmon) is the source of this 2370-nucleotide non-coding RNA. NCBI's taxonomy places the organism in Eukaryota, Metazoa, Chordata, Actinopteri, Salmoniformes, Salmonidae. The record is from RefSeq and is a predicted model, not a curated record.
GCGGGAGCCCCACCUCCGUCAACGCCCCCUGCAACUUCUCACGAACGUCGGUCACCCCUCCAACCAGGACAUCUGCAGCCUUACCGCCACAUCUCCAGAUCAGUGCUCCCAGAAGCCUUUGCAGACCGCCGUGGUUCUAUUGAACUCAAACGGCAAAACAUCUCAGGGGUCAGGAGGAGACAUCUCCAUGACAACCCUCUGCCUGGACGCACCCCCAGCCUUCAAGCCCCCCAAAGCCCGAGGUGGGGUCUCAUUCGGAACGGAAUGGUUUUCACUGCUCCGCCCCUCCACCGUCAAUGGGACAUUGAAGUUUUCUCGCUCUCUGAACGAUGUUGGUCAGCGCAUGGAUAGUCUCUGUAGUGGACUGCACUUCAUAGACCGGACCUGUUCUGAAGGAGAGCUGGAGGUUAAACCCGAACCACCCAACACGGACCGGAAGUCCAAGGCACUCAACGGCAAAGCGGCCACACUCCCACACCAGGCCUCAAACCUACCUUCAUUCCCCACGCACACCCACACACACCCUCACCUCGUCCCCUCGUUCACCAACAACUACAAAUACCUCAACCCCCAACACUGCCUCCAACCUCCCUCUACCGGCGUCCCCCCUCCUCCUCCUCCUCCUAACUCCCACCUCCACCCUCCCAGCUCCAACCUCCUCCGCCUCUUCCUCCCUUUUUCUCGCUCCUCUACUUCGGCCAGUCUCCAGUGUUCUGAGCUGGGGAGCUACGAUUCCCGCCUCCACAUCGCCAAAUCCUCCAGCGCCCUGAUGGGGGGCAGCGAGCCUCCCCUGGGGGGAGCAGAGGACCUCUUGGGGGAUGACGAAGUGUUCGAGGUCCCCAAGGGAAGGACCAGGGCUUGGACAGGGGCUGGAAUCCCAGGAAGAGAUGCUGGCAGCGGGGUAGCGGCUCUCCUCGGGGAAGCCCCCCUCUGCUACAUGGAUGAAGACAGCGAUCUGGACCGGUUUUCAUUUCUGGACCAGUGUUCGUCACCCACCCAUUCAGAGAAAACAGGGCCGCUCACGCCAGGCCCGCUCUCUCCCUAUUCGCUGUCCGGAGACUGCUGCAGGAUCUGUCACUGUGAAGGAGAUGAUGAGAGCCCGUUGAUAACACCGUGCCACUGUACGGGCAGCCUGCGCUUCGUCCACCAGGCGUGCCUGCAGCAAUGGAUCAAGUCCUCAGAUACACGUUGCUGUGAACUCUGCAAGUACCAGUUCAUCAUGCAGACCAAGCUGAAACCCCUGCGCAAGUGGGAGAAGCUCCAGAUGACGUCUAGUGAGAGGAGGAAGAUAAUUUGUUCUGUGACGUUCCAUGUCAUCGCCAUCACCUGCGUGGUGUGGUCCCUCUACGUGCUCAUCGACCGCACUGCAGACGAGAUCAAAGCAGCCGGAAGAAUCCCAGGUAUCCUGGAGUGGCCAUUCUGGACCAAACUGGUGGUGGUGGCCAUUGGCUUCACUGGCGGCCUGGUCUUCAUGUACAUCCAGUGUAAAGUCUACAUCCAGCUGUGGCGGAGACUCAAGGCCUACAACCGGGUGAUCUAUGUCCAGAAUCGCCCGGAGACGUGUAAAAAGCAGAUGUUGGAGAAGCCUCCCCUCAUGGAGCCCAAUGUGGAGCACAAGGAGGCUCUGGCCCCCACCCAGUCAGACACAAACUCCUCCCAGUACACAGAGACAGAAGACUACAGUAUGGAAGUGCUCCAUGUCUGACCCACAUAUACACACAUACAGGGACACACCAUGUCUGACCCACAUAUACACACAUACAGGGACACACCAUGUCUGACCCACAUAUACACACAUACAGGGACACACCAUGUCUGACCCACAUAUACACACAUACAGGGACACAUCAUGUCUGACCAACAUACAAGGCAUUCAGAAAGUUUUCAGAUCCCUUGACUUUUUCCACAUUUUGUUACAUUACAGCCUUGUUCUAAAAUUGAUUAAAUUGAUUUCCCCCUCAUCAAUCUACACACAAUACCAGAUAAUGACAAAGCAAAAUCAGGUUUUUAGAAAUGUUUGCAAAUGUAUAUAAAAAAAACGGAAAUAUCACAUUUACAUAAGUAUUCAGACCCUUUACUCAGUACUCUGUUGAUGUACCCUUUGCAGCGAUUAUAGCCCUUGAGUCUUGUUGGGUAUGAUGCUACAAGCUUGACACACCUGUAUUUAGGGAGUUUCUCCCAUUCUUCUCUGUAGACCCUCUCAAGCUCUAUCUGGUUGGAUGGGGAGCGUCGCUGCACAGCUAUUUUCAGGUCUCUCCAGAGAUGUUUGAUCGGGUUCAAGUCCGGGCUCUGGCUGGGCCACUCAAUGAUAUUCAGAGACUUGUCCCGAAGCCACUCCUGCAUUGUCUUGGCUGUGUGCUUAGGGUCGUU